UAGGGAAUCUUCCGCAAUGGACGCAAGUCUGACGGAGCAACGCCGCGUGAGUGAAGAAGGUUUUCGGAUCGUAAAGCUCUGUUGUUAAGGAAGAACGAGUGUGAGAAUGGAAAGUUCAUACUGUGACGGUACUUAACCAGAAAGGGACGGCUAACUACGUGCCAGCAGCCGCGGUAAUACGUAGGUCCCGAGCGUUAUCCGGAAUUAUUGGGCGUAAAGCGCGCGUAGGCGGUUUUUUAAGUCUGAUGUGAAAGCCCACGGCUCAACCGUGGAGGGUCAUUGGAAACUGGAAAACUUGAGUGCAGAAGAGGAAAGUGGAAUUCCAUGUGUAGCGGUGAAAUGCGCAGAGAUAUGGAGGAACACCAGUGGCGAAGGCGACUUUCUGGUCUGUAACUGACGCUGAUGUGCGAAAGCGUGGGGAUCAAACAGG
This 430-nucleotide ribosomal RNA is filed under the name Bacteroidota bacterium. RNAcentral's name for it is "Bacteroidetes bacterium partial 16S ribosomal RNA". It matches the Rfam family "Bacterial small subunit ribosomal RNA", at positions 355 to 776 of the family's 1533-position model. The record is from RNAcentral. Lineage: Bacteria; Pseudomonadati; Bacteroidota.